This is a long non-coding RNA of Calypte anna (Anna's hummingbird), 277 nucleotides long. RefSeq lists it as uncharacterized. NCBI's taxonomy places the organism in Eukaryota, Metazoa, Chordata, Aves, Apodiformes, Trochilidae. The record is from RefSeq and is a predicted model, not a curated record. The transcript is spliced from 3 exons.
AACAAUGCCUGAAGAUGCUCACUGAAGAGUCUCCCUGUGCCCAGGAGCAAGUUGCGUCUGAUGAAGAUUUUGUUCCUUCAUCAAGCCAUUCUCACUCAGAACCAAAAUAUCCCACAUUCUGCCACGAUGAGCAACAAGCAAAGCCAAGCACUGCAGCUCCUGAGCCCUGGGUCCCACAUUACCCACAGCCAAGAGGGAAGCCUGGAGAAAAGAGGUCACACAGUAAUUUGCACUGGACUGCUCUGUUAAAGGGACAACUUGUGUUCAUCUGACACCA